CCUACGGGGGGCAGCAGGGAGGAAUAUUGGGCAAUGGCCGGAAGGCUGAACCAGCCAAGUCGCGGGAAGGAAGAAGGAGCUAUGGUUUGUAAACUUCUGUUAUAGGGGAAUAAAGGUAUCCACGUGUGGAUCUUUGCAUGUACCCUAUGAAUAAGCAUCGGCUAACUCCGUGCCAGCAGCCGCGGUAAUACGGAGGGUGCGAGCGUUAUCCGGAUUUAUUGGGUUUAAAGGGUGCGUAGGUUGUUUUUUAAGUCAGCGGUGAAAGUUUGUGGCUCAACCGUAAAAUGGCCGUUGAAACUGGCAGACUUGAGUGUGUUUGAGGUAGGCGGAAUGCGUGGUGUAGCGGUGAAAUGCAUAGAUAUCACGCAGAACUCCGAUUGCGAAGGCAGCUUACUAAGCCAUAACUGACACUGAGGCACGAAAGCGUGGGGAUCAAACAGGAUUAGAUACCCUAGUAGUC
RNAcentral lists this ribosomal RNA (460 nucleotides) under uncultured bacterium. Its description in RNAcentral is "partial 16S ribosomal RNA". It matches the Rfam family "Bacterial small subunit ribosomal RNA", at positions 338 to 795 of the family's 1533-position model. The record is from RNAcentral.